GGUUAAGCGACUAAGCGUACACGGUGGAUGCCCUGGCAGUCAGAGGCGAUGAAGGACGUGCUAAUCUGCGAAAAGCGUCGGUAAGGUGAUAUGAACCGUUACAG
This 104-nucleotide ribosomal RNA is filed under the name Klebsiella pneumoniae. Its description in RNAcentral is "partial 23S ribosomal RNA". It matches the Rfam family "Bacterial large subunit ribosomal RNA", at positions 1 to 103 of the family's 2925-position model. The record is from RNAcentral. RNAcentral also lists the same sequence under 1 other name. Lineage: Bacteria; Pseudomonadati; Pseudomonadota; Gammaproteobacteria; Enterobacterales; Enterobacteriaceae.